ACGAAGGCAGGGAAGGAGAGAGUAAGGGGCCUUCCGGAGUACAGAGAGCUGCGCCAGGUGCGAAGGCAGCCUUCAGGAGCCCCUGAAAGACACUCUGGAGCUGCGCAGCCGAAAGCCACCAGUAGGCUGCGCCGGCUGCUCCCGUUAUCGAGCCCGGGUCAAUGACCCUCUGAGUCACUGGUUGUGAAGCCAGUGAGAACAAAGGUGGUACCACGGGCAAGCCCCCGUCCUUUUU
This 235-nucleotide non-coding RNA is filed under the name Anaerolineae bacterium. RNAcentral's name for it is "T-box sequence". It matches the Rfam family "T-box leader". Rfam says of the family: Uncharged tRNA acts as the effector for transcription antitermination of genes in the T-box leader family. T-boxes are found upstream of many aminoacyl-tRNA synthetase genes and some amino acid biosynthetic genes usually in Gram-positive bacteria. Lineage: Bacteria; Bacillati; Chloroflexota; Anaerolineae. The record is from RNAcentral.